CAGACGGUUUUAAGUUGUCUCGUGUAGGCACCGAGAACUGAACUCGUGCCCUCUGCAAGAACAGUACCUGACCUUCACUGCUGACCCAUCUCUCCAGAUAAACAAUUUUUAAAACAGUGACACCACACGAUUUUCUUACUCUACGCAAAAAGAGGAAACGCACUGCAGUGGUUUGAAUAAGCGUGGCCCCCAUUGGCCAUUUAACUGCUUAGUCAUCAGAGAGUGAUGCUAUUGGAAAGAAUUAGAGGCGUGGCCCUCUUGGAGGAGGUGUGGCCUUGAUGGAGCAGGCAUGCCCUGUUGGCAUGGGUGUGGCCCUGUUGACGUGGGCGUGGCCCUGUUGAUGUGGGUGUGGCCCUGUCGAAGGAGGUGUGUCACUGGGUUGGAGUUUGAAGUUUCAAAAGCCCAUAGCAGGCCUAUUCCUCUGCCUCCCAGCUGCCUGUGGAUCAAGAUGUAGAACUCUCAGGAGAUGCCUUCCGCAAUAUUUCCCUAAUACCUCCGUAACCAUGGGGACCAGAAGGAAGACUGCUAAGAGCCCUGCCUUCUAAGAUUCACUCUUGGGACAAGGAUGUUUCCCUGGAAAAACCAAGGUAUCAAACAAGAGCAGAAAUGGAUUCCGAGCCCUUGAAGGCCCUGAGGUUCCAGCAAGAAAAACACAGGCUUCAGGCUAGUGUGUGUAAGUAUCAUGUAUACUGUGUGGGAAGGUGAUGGGGGUAUAUGCUCCCGGUGGGGCACACAAGGGUGUUCACACGCAUGUACACAUGCAUGUUCACAUGCAUGUAGAAGCCAGAGGUCAGCUUCAGGCAUUGUUUCUCUAGAGACCUCACCUUGCUUUUAGUUUGUUCACAUGUGCAUGGGUAGGCAUGCCACUUCAUACGUGCGGAAGUCCGUCCUCUCCCUCUCCCAUGUCAGAUUAGGGACUCGAACUAAGGUUGUCAGACUCAGCAGCAAGUGCCUUUAUCAACUGCAGUUAGUUACUGUUCUGUUGCUCUGGUAACACCAUGACCAAGGCAACUGAUAAAAAGAAUGACCUGCAAACCACUGAAUUGAGAAUGGGACCCCCGUUGAAGGAAUCAGAGAAAGAACUGGAAGAGCUUGAAGGGGCUCGAGACCCCAUAUGAACAACAAUGCCAAGCAACCAGAGCUUCCAGGGACUAAGCCACUAUCCAAAGACUAUACAUGGACUGACCGUGGACUCUGACCUCAUAGGUAGCAAUGAAUAUCCUAGUAAGAGCACCAGUGUAAGGGGAAGCCCUGGGUCCUGCCAAGGCUGGA
Rattus norvegicus (Norway rat) is the source of this 1272-nucleotide non-coding RNA. NCBI's taxonomy places the organism in Eukaryota, Metazoa, Chordata, Mammalia, Rodentia, Muridae. The record is from RefSeq and is a predicted model, not a curated record.